RNAcentral lists this non-coding RNA (104 nucleotides) under Piliocolobus tephrosceles (Ugandan red Colobus). Its description in RNAcentral is "U4atac minor spliceosomal RNA (ENSPTEG00000002182.1)". It matches the Rfam family "U4atac minor spliceosomal RNA". Rfam says of the family: U4atac is an essential component of the minor U12-type spliceosome complex which is required for removal of the rarer class of eukaryotic introns (AT-AC, U12-type). These interacting stem loops have been shown to be required for in vivo splicing. The record is from Rfam by way of RNAcentral. Lineage: Eukaryota; Metazoa; Chordata; Mammalia; Primates; Cercopithecidae.
ACCAUUCUUUUGUUGGGUUUGUGCUACUGUCCAAUGAGCGCAUAGUGAGGGCAGUACUGCUAACACCUACCAAAAAAAAGAAAAGCAAAAAUAAACAUGAAAAA